GAUGAAGAACGUAGCGAAAUGCGAUAAGUAAUGUGAAUUGCAGAAUUCAGUGAAUCAUCGAAUCUUUGAACGCACAUUGCGCCCGCCAGUAUUCUGGCGGGCAUGCCUGUUCGAGCGUCAUUUCAACCAUCAAGCCCUGCUUGCGUUGGGGUCCUGCGGUUGCCCGCAGGCCCUGAAAACCAGUGGCGGGCUCGCUAGUCACACCGAGCGCAGUAAUACAUCUCGCUUUGGGCGUGCGGCGGGUUCUUGCCGUUAAACACCCCCUUUUUACCAAGGUUGACCUCGGAUCAGGUAGGAAUACCCGCUGAACUUAAGCAUAUCAAUAAGCGGAGGA
This 334-nucleotide unclassified non-coding RNA is filed under the name soil metagenome. RNAcentral describes it as "partial contains 5.8S ribosomal RNA, internal transcribed spacer 2, and large subunit ribosomal RNA". The stretch from base 1 to 120 matches the Rfam family "5.8S ribosomal RNA", at positions 35 to 154 of the family's 154-position model. The record is from RNAcentral.